This 4642-nucleotide long non-coding RNA is filed under the name Solanum tuberosum (potato). RNAcentral describes it as "long non-coding RNA (STUB_LNC003105)". Lineage: Eukaryota; Viridiplantae; Streptophyta; Magnoliopsida; Solanales; Solanaceae. The record is from RNAcentral.
UCAACAAGACCUGGGGUGGUCCUCUCAUGAGUACAUCGCAUCCCCGAGCAGUGAUGAAUCUAAGAUUUUUAUUAAAAGGAAAUUCAAAAAAUAAAUACUUAUAUAAUAUUAAAAUCUGAAUUCAAAACUUUAAGAUAAAUUUUUAAUUCUUAAUCACAAGUCAACCUUUAAUUUUGUAUUCAGAAAAUUCAAAAUCACUCAAUUUUUAUUUAUUUAUAUGUAUAAUUCUUAGGUUCAGAUGAAUAUUCAUAUCCGAGACGCGUCCCUGUCUGUGGGUCAUGUUGAUGACUAUUUUUUUUUAUAGAUAAAAAAGAUGACUACUUCACCUUAAUUUGUCAAACACGUAUAGCAUUUGUCUAAUAUUAUUAGAAAGGAAAAUAAAACACACGACUAGAUAUUGUUAAUGUAGAAGACAAGACAAGAGAUAUAGCAGUAUUUAUUUAAUUUAUACAAUGAUUAAAUUGGACAAUCUAGCUAGCCUCGUAAUAUUGGGGGAACAAACAGGGGCCGAGCCAGACAUGGGUUACGGAUGAAAAAUUACACUAUAUAUAUAAAAUUAAACAAUUUUUUUACAUACAUAUUUUUGAACCUCUUAAUUAAAAUUGUGGCUCCGCCAUUCAAAAUAAAGUAAGCACAUAGACAGGGCCAGCAGUAUAUAGAUAGGUGCAGGUAAUAUGAGAAGGACAAAGUAAAUCAAAAAAGGCAGAGAAGAUUGAGAAUGGGUCAUCACUGCUGCAGUAAACAAAAAGUAAAGAGAGGUCUUUGGUCUCCAGAAGAAGAUGAAAAACUCAUUAAACACAUCAACACCCAUGGCAAUUCCUGCUGGAGUUCUGUUCCUAAACUAGCUGGUACUACUUUCUUAAUUCUUCAUUCCCUUUAUGUAAUUAAAAUCUCGAUAACAACAUUUCACUAUAACAACCAUGUUUUCUGUCUCAUUAUAGUUACGUUGUUAUUGACUGUUUCUUUUGCAGGACUACAGAGGUGUGGAAAAAGCUGCAGGCUUAGGUGGAUAAAUUACUUAAGGCCAGAUCUGAAAAGGGGUUGUUUUAGUGAACAAGAAGAAAGGAUUAUAAUUGAUGUACACAGAAUUUUGGGAAACAGAUGGGCACAAAUAGCGAAACAUUUACCUGGUAGAACCGAUAAUGAAGUGAAGAAUUUUUGGAAUUCUUGCAUAAAAAAGAAACUUAUUUCUCAAGGUUUUGAUCCAAACACCCACAAUCUCCUUUCUACUAAGAAAAAAGCCAACAAUAAUUAUACCACAUCAUCAAUUUUCACUAUUGAAACUAGUUUAUCGUCAUCAUCAACGAAAGAGUUGGUUUCAAUGGACCUGAUCAAAGCAAGUCUUGCAGCAUUGUCAACUUUUCCUAAUUACACUAAUAUGCCUCAGUGCCAAACAAGUUUGAGUCGGCUAUAUGGAUCUGUUUGUGUUCCCACCACUACGAAUAUUAUUGGAAACUCAAACUUUGCCAGUACCAUUGAUUACAAAAAGCAGAGUACUAUUAUUAAUGAAAAUUGUAUGUGGUCUAUUACUGGAUUUGAAACUCCACAUCAUGAAUUUGGUAAUGGACAUGAAGAAAUGAAACAAGAGGGACAAGUUCAGGUUGAGGAAAAGAAUUGUCAAGAGGAAGUACUCUACAAGGUUAAUGAUCUUCAUGAGUUCAACAACGAUGGACCACGAAUCGCGGAGAAUGUGACAUUUGAUGAAGGCUCCGACUUUGAUUUUGAGUUCAUGGAUUCUGAAUUGGUGCCGUGUGGAAUUUUCACUAACAUAAAUUCUAUAGAUCAGCUUGCAUGGAAUUGUUAAUUGAAGUAGUUGUUAAAAAAAAAUUUUAAAAAGUUUUCAGUACUAUACAAAUGUUGCAUGUUAUUUAUUUGAUUUCUGUUGCAUUAUCAUGUUGGUUCAGCAGAAUUUUUAAAGAGAAAAUGGUAGUUGUCAUAUUUUGGUACUUUUUUUUUUAAUGUGUACAUAUAAUAUGAGCUAUUUUAAAGGGAAAAAGAAUGAGUAAUUGAAAAAAUAGUCUAACUUGCAAAAGUGAAAUAACUUAUAAUUUGUGUAUGAUUUAUCUCUCCCUUUCAACUGUGAUAUUCAAUAAAAAGCUCCUUAUACAAGACAUUGACUUAGUCUAGCUCAUCAUAUUAUGCUGGAAAUGUUUUUGUAAUAUUUACCUAGGGAUAGUUUUUUAUCUAAAUUUUAUUUCCGUAUUAAAAAGCGGCUAAGUUUGAAUGAUUUUGAAAUGCUGGCUAAGUUUCAAUUAGCAGUUUGAAAGUUUGGUAUUUGUCAAUUUCACGCAUUGAAGUCUGAAUAUGAAAAAGAAAAAAUACUUAAAUUUUUUUUAUAGUUACAAAAAUAUUAUGCCCCGUUUAAGAAUAUAAGUUUUAUAAUCCAUAAAUAUUAGCACAUGUUUAAAAUUAUAAAUAUAAAAAGUUCUCAUUUCUUUCUUAAAUUCUUGAUGAGUUUAUUAGUAUAUCGCACAAAUUAAAACGGAUGAGGUAACUCUCAAUUAUGGCCUUGGCAAUAUGGAGUAUAUAAAAUGUAUGAAUCCAAGUUUGGGCUCAAUUCAUUCACCGUAGACAACACAACCAUACUAAAAUCUCAACUCCAACACAACACUAGCUUUGUGGUACAAUUUUUUUAGGCUUUCAGCAAUUAGGCCCAAACAUCAGUUACAUUGUUUUUGUCAAAUAUACUCCAUCUGUAUAAUAAUAGUUGUCCAUUAUUGACUUGACACACUCUUUAAUAAAUAAUAAAUAAUAGGGGUAAUACUCCCUCUGCUCCUAAUUACUUGUCCACUUUUAAAUUGACAUAUUAAUUAAGAAAACAAUUAUUGACAUAGUGAGUUUACCAUUUUACCCCUAUUAAUUAUGAAGUGGAUAUAUUAAAAACUUAAGAUUUUCAAAAAGUUCUAUCUUUUUUUCAAAAUAAUUAAUUAAGGGUUUGUCCUUUUUUGAUUUGCCAAAAUGGACAAGUAAUUAGGAACAACGAAAAAAGGAAAAAUAGACAAAUAACUAGGGACAUAGGGAGUAUCACUAUAUUAUCAUCACUAUAUUGUCCUUUGAUUUUAUUAAAUUUAAUGUUUUGAAAAAUGUGUUAGAUGAUAAAUAAUAUUUAAUAGUAAGGAUAAAAUAGACACAAAAGAGAAAAUUAUCUCUUGAUUUUCUAAAUCGAACAAGUAUUGUUGAACAACUAUUUUUAGUAUAAUGAACAAAUAUUGUUAUUGGACGGAGGGAGUAUAUAGAAAACCUUAAAAUUUAUGGCUUUAGUUCUAUCUAAGAAAAGAUCAUGGAUCUGCUUUCAUGUCACUCUUUUAGUCAUUUUUUACUUGUCUAAUUUUGACUUUUUAGUUAUCCUUUUUUACUUGUCAUUUUUAUAAAUGAAGAAAAAAAUUAUUUAGAGAAUUAAUGUUUUUAAAAAAGAUAGAACCUCUUUAAUGAGUAAAUUGAUUUUAGAACUCUAUCAAUUAAUAGAGCUAAAAUAGUAAACUCACUAUAUCAAUUACUCCCUCCGUCCCAUUUUAUGUGAGAUACUUUGACUCGGCACAGAGUUUAAGAAAAAAAGGAAGAUUUUUAAAAUUUGUGGUCCAAAAUGAAUGAUAGAAAUUUGUUAUUAAUAUAGAAAUGUGUCAUUUUUUUUGGAACUGACAAAAAGAAAAGUAAGUCACAUAAAUUGGAACAGAGGGAGUAUUAUUUUUUUAAGGGAAAGGGGUCAAAAAUACCCCUCAACUUUGGUUUAUUGUUUGACUACGCCCUCGCCGUUAAAAUGAAGUUAUUUUUACCCCUCCCGUUACUAAUUUCACCAAAUUUACCCCUCAAUUGGAUGGAAAACCCAAAUCAAUUAAAAUUACCCAAUUUCAAUUAAAUAACCCAAUUUUUUCUCUUUUUAAUCCGAACCCGACCCAUUUAUACCAAAUUAAAACCCCAAAUCAAGCUCCGGCAAUCGCCAUUCAUUUUCUCCGUUUUCCGGCGAAACACCACCAAAACAACCUCCAAACGACCACCUGAAACCACCACUAAAAACCCCCAAGAACCAGAAACGACAUCAAGCAAAAAACAUUAACAACAAACCCAUUUUCUGAUAUUGCAAAGGAAGCAGCAGGGACAGUAGUUAAAGCUAAAGAUAAAGCGUCUAAACUUGUGUUUCAUCCGGUUGAUUUUGCUUCCAACCUGACCACUGUUAAUAAAAACUCUAAAGCAAUAUAUAGCCCUAGUGAGUUUAGGUUCCGCUUUGAUUUUGCUGUUAAGAAUUUUAAGGUCGCUGCACCGGUUAUCCGCUCCGAUCGAUGAUAAGCCAUGUGUACGAUUCAUGCUCAAUUAAUUAACACUACCAUAAGAAAAGAAGAAUCUAAGAUGUAAACCUUGUAGUUUUCUAAGUUUGGUUUGUCUCAAAAUAAUGUAGUUUGUAUUUAGCUAAAUGUAUUAAUGGAAGAGUGACUGUAUUGUAAAAUCAAAUGCUUACACCCUCACUAGGGGUCUAAGAUUGUCCAAUCGUCCCAUCAAAAAUGGAUAAUUUUGAACUUCGAAUGUUCUCUAUUACAUACAUUAAGAACAACAUGUCCAACAAAGAAAAAAUCAAUGGAGAACAAGUUAAAGCAGACAUGUCAAUGAGAAGAAAAAAAACAGAGAAACAGAAAAAAGUUAACUUGGC